AUUGAACGCUGGCGGCAGGCCUAACACAUGCAAGUCGAACGGUAGCACAGAGAGCUUGCUCUCGGGUGACGAGUGGCGGACGGGUGAGUAAUGUCUGGGAAACUGCCCGAUGGAGGGGGAUAACUGCUGGAAACGGUAGCUAAUACCGCAUAACGUCGCAAGACCAAAGUGGGGGACCUCCGGGCCUCACACCAUCGGAUGUGCCCAGAUGGGAUUAGCUAGUAGGUGGGGUAAUGGCUCACCUAGGCGACGAUCCCUAGCUGGUCUGAGAGGAUGACCAGCCACACUGGAACUGAGACACGGUCCAGACUCCUACGGGAGGCAGCAGUGGGGAAUAUUGCACAAUGGGCGCAAGCCUGAUGCAGCCAUGCCGCGUGUAUGAAGAAGGCCUUCGGGUUGUAAAGUACUUUCAGCGGGGAGGAAGGCGGUGAAGUUAAUAACUUCACCGAUUGACGUUACCCGCAGAAGAAGCACCGGCUAACUCCGUGCCAGCAGCCGCCGUAA
This 504-nucleotide ribosomal RNA is filed under the name uncultured bacterium. RNAcentral's name for it is "partial 16S ribosomal RNA". It matches the Rfam family "Bacterial small subunit ribosomal RNA", at positions 30 to 523 of the family's 1533-position model. The record is from RNAcentral.